ACAACAUUCGGACCGUCUACCGAACAAUAUCACCCGCUCGGUGGAAAAUCUUCCCUUUGUCGU
RNAcentral lists this microRNA precursor (63 nucleotides) under Bombyx mori (domestic silkworm). RNAcentral describes it as "mir-2774 microRNA precursor family". It matches the Rfam family "mir-2774 microRNA precursor family". Lineage: Eukaryota; Metazoa; Arthropoda; Insecta; Lepidoptera; Bombycidae. The record is from Rfam by way of RNAcentral.